CUAAUCUUAUCUCCCUGAAGUUGCAAUAGAGCAUAUUAAAGCUACAAGUCGUAUCUCCCUGAAGUUGUAAUGGAGCAAAUUAAAGCUACCAAUCUUAUCUCCCUUAAAGCUCCAAGGACUCAAAUAAUGGAGAAGCACUAAAGAAGUCUAGAUUUAGCAAGACCAGACAAAAUUGGUCCUUCUUAAAGUCUUUGCUUUAUUCCCGUUACACGAUAACGAGCAAAGAGGGGCAGCUGUAAGGGCCCAAUUUCGUCUGGCCCGAACAAGAAACCAGAAAACAAAUAAACAAAAUAAAAAAAUAAAAAAUCAAAUAUAAGUCCAAGUCUAAUUACAAAAAUGACCCAAAUACAAAAAAAACCCUAAGGCCCACUAUCUAAAAAAAACUUUCAGAAACCUUAAGGUCAUCCGUGCUGCCGUCUCUGUCAGUGAGUUUGUCACCUGAGGUCUGACGCC
RNAcentral lists this long non-coding RNA (453 nucleotides) under Gossypium raimondii (Peruvian cotton). RNAcentral's name for it is "long non-coding RNA (GRAI_LNC001839)". The record is from RNAcentral. Lineage: Eukaryota; Viridiplantae; Streptophyta; Magnoliopsida; Malvales; Malvaceae.